Molecule: non-coding RNA, 131 nt
Organism: Calycina marina
Lineage: Eukaryota; Fungi; Ascomycota; Leotiomycetes; Helotiales; Pezizellaceae
Source: the annotation of a GenBank genome assembly
GGCGCUUUGGCGGAGUGGUUAACGGUAAGCCUCAACUAGCUUUAGAUAUUGGAACAUUUUCUAACACAACACAGCGAUAGCCUAGAAAGCUAUUUCCUUCGGGAGCGCAGGUUCGAGUCCUGCAGGCGUCG